Molecule: ribosomal RNA, 1392 nt
Filed under: metagenome
Description: bacterial SSU rRNA
Rfam family: Archaeal small subunit ribosomal RNA
Source: RNAcentral
UCCAGUUGAUCCUGCUGGCGGCUGCGGCUAUCUGGUUUGCACUUAGACAUGCAAGUCUGUUGAAAGACGGCAAACUGCUCAGUAACACGUAGCUAACCUACCCUAACAUUUGGGAUACCCUCGGGAAACUGAGGUUAAACCCGGAUAGGAAAUAAUUUCUGGAAUGAUUUAUUUCUCAAUGUUAGGAUGGGGCUGCGGCUGAUUAGCUUGUUGGCGGGGUAAUAGCCCACCAAGGCGUUUAUCAGUAAGGGCUCUUAGCGGAGAAGCCCUGAGAGGGAGUCUGAGACACUACUCCCAGCCCACGGGGUGCAGCAGUUAGGAAACUUCUACAAUGCGCGCAAGCGUGAUAGAGCAAGCCAGAGUGAUUCUCUAAUAAUUGAGAAUCUUUUGUGUGAUGUAAAAAGUCACACGAAUAAGGACUGGGAAAGACUGGUGCCAGCCGCCGCGGUAAUACCAGCGGUCCAAGUCGCAGCCUUUUUUAUUGGGUCUAAAACAUCCGUAGCUCGUUUCGUCAGUCUUUUGUGAAAUCUGACAUCUUAAGUGUCAGGCGAGCAAGAGAUACUGCGGAGCUAGAGAUCGGGAGACGUAAGAAGUACGCAUAGGGUAGCGGUCAAAUGUGUUGAUCCUUUGUGGACUAACGAUAGCGGAGGCAUCUUACGAGAACGAAUCUGACAGUGAGGGAUGAAGGCUAGGGGCGCAAAACGGAUUAGAUACCCGUGUAGUCCUAGCAGUAAACACUGCACACUAAACAUCGGUCCCUCCUCGAGAGGUAUCGGUGCUGUAGGGAAGCCGUAGAGUGUGCUACCUGGGAAGUAUAGUCGCAAGGCCGAAACUUAAAGGAAUAGGCGGCGGGAUACUACAACCAGUGACGCGUGCGGUUCAAUUAAAUUAUACACCGUGAACCUCACCAGAGUCGACAGCAGAAUGAAGGUCAGUCUAAAGGGCUUACCUGACACGCCGAGAGGAGCCGCAAGGCCGACGUCAGCCUGUGUCGUGAGAUGAUCUGUUAAAUCAGAUAACAGGCGAGACCCGUGUGUACAUUUGCACUGUACAAUGUACAGACUGCCUUGGUAACAAGGAGGAAGGUGCGGGCUACGUUAGGUUAGUUCAGCCCGAAUGCUCUGGGCUACACGCGCGCGGCAAUGGUAUAUUCAAAGGGUCGCGACUCCGAGAGGAGAAGCUAAUCUCAUAAACUAUACCCUAGUUCAGAUCGAGGCUUGCAACUCAGCCUCGUGACGCUGGAAUUGGUAGUAAUCGGAUUUUAUCAGAGUCCGGUGAAUAAGUCAAUGUCCCGUGCACUCACCGCCCGUCAAACCAACCGAGUUAUGCUCUGGCGAGGCCCUUCGGGGACGAACCUAGGUAUGACAGGGUAGGUUAAGUCGUCACAAGGUA